GACGGAAUAGUUCAGCGGCUAGAACAGCAGAGUCAUAAUCUGCGUGUCGUGGGUUCGAGUCCCUCUUCCGUUA
RNAcentral lists this transfer RNA (73 nucleotides) under Cavernulicola chilensis. Its description in RNAcentral is "tRNA-Met". It matches the Rfam family "tRNA". From Rfam's summary of the family: Transfer RNA (tRNA) molecules are approximately 80 nucleotides in length. Their secondary structure includes four short double-helical elements and three loops (D, anti-codon, and T loops). Lineage: Eukaryota; Rhodophyta; Bangiophyceae; Cavernulicolales; Cavernulicolaceae. The record is from RNAcentral.